This 3159-nucleotide ribosomal RNA is filed under the name soil metagenome. RNAcentral describes it as "bacterial LSU rRNA". It matches the Rfam family "Bacterial large subunit ribosomal RNA". The record is from RNAcentral.
CUAAGGGCGUACGGUGGAUGCCUUGGCGCCAGACGGCGAAGAAGGACGUGGUUACCUGCGAAAAGCCUCGGCUAGGGGGAAACACCCUUUGAUCCGGGGAUCUCCGAAUGGGGAAACCCUUCCCGGCAAAACCGGGAAACGGCCCGCUGAAUCCAUAGGCGGGUGCGAGCCAACCCAGGGAAGUGAACCAUCUCAGUACCUGGAGGAAGAGAAAGCAACAGCGAUUCCGUCAGUAGCGGCGAGCGAACGCGGAACAGCCCAAACUCAGCCUUCCUUUGAGAUUUCAGAAUUGAAAUUUGAGAUCUCAGAGGAGGGCUGGGGGUUGUAGGGCGCGCGUCGGUGCAGAACCGAAGAGUUACCAAUCCGGCGGCUAUCCGAACGACUUGGAAAAGUCGGCCAGAGGAUGUGAUAGCCAUGUAGGAGAAAGCUGACCGGACUCUUACGCGCGUUCCUGAGUACCGCGGGGCACGAGAAACCCUGCGGGAAUCCACGGGGACCAUCCCGUAAGGCUAAAUACGUGCUGGCGACCGAUAGCGAACUAGUACCGUGAGGGAAAGGUGAAAAGCACCCCUGCGAGGGGAGUUAAAAGUACCUGAAACCGUAUGCCUACAAGCAGUCGAAGGGCCACGCUCGUCCCUCUGAGAUUUCAAAUUUGAAAUUUGAGAUUUCAGAGGGGCGAGCAAGCCUGACGGCGUGCCUAUUGCAUAAUGAGCCGGCUAGUUAUUGUCCGUUGCGAGGCUAAGCGACGAUCUUGCGGUUGCGACCGCGAGGGAGCGAGCCGUAGCGAAAGCGAGUCUGAAUAGGGCGACCAGUAGCGGGCAAUAGACGCGAAGCGGGAUGAUCUACCCUUGGUCAGGGUGAAAGCCGCGUAACAGCGGCCGGAGGCCCGAACCGGUGUUGGUUGAAAACAGCUCGGAUGAACUGAGGGUAGGGGUGAAAGGCUAAUCAAAUUCCGUGAUAGCUCGUUCUCCCCGAAAUAGCUUUAGGGCUAGCCUCGGAUGGUCGCUCGCGGUGAUAGAGAACUAGAUGGACUAGGGUCCUUUAACGGAUUCCGAAUCCAACUAAACUCCGAAUGCCGCGAAGCGCAGUCCGGGAGUCAGACAGUGGGGGCUAAGCUUCAUUGUCGAGAGGGAAAUAGCCCAGACCGCCAGCUAAGGUCCCGAAGCGAUGGCUAAGUGGGGAAGGAAGUGAAGUCGCUCAGACAGCCAGGAGGUUGGCUUAGAAGCAGCCAUCCUUUAAAGAAAGCGUAACAGCUCACUGGUCGAGUGACUUCGCGCCGAUAAUUCAACGGGGCUCAAGCCAUCUACCGAAGCUGCGGAUUUCGCGGGUUGCCACUGGGGCCACGGGGACAAUCACAAGUUGGAGGUUAUCUCAACAGGUGGUAUCUCGGUGGUUCAAGUGGUGGCCCGCGGGGUGGUAGGGGAGCGUAGAGUACAGUUUGAAGCGGGACCGCGAGGGCCCGUUGACGGUACUCCAGUGACCCUGCCGGCAUAAGUAGCGAUAACGGAGGUGGGAACCCUCCGCGCCGAAAGUCUAAGGUUUCCUGAGAAAGGUUAAUCCGCUCAGGGUCAGUCGGUCCCUAAGGUGAGGCCGAAAGGCGUAGCUGAUGGACAGCCGGUUAAUAUUCCGGCACUGUGGCGGAGACGUUAUGACGAAGCGGGGACGCAGGAGGAUAGCGGAGUCGAAACCCGCAAGGGCGAUGCGCGCAUCGAGGAGGAUCCGGCAGGCAAAUCCACCGGGUCGGUUCAAAGCCACUCUGAGGUGUGAGCCGAGGGGCCUCGGCCCCAGUAAGUCCGUGACUUCAUGCUGCCAAGAAAAGCCGCUAAGCAGUCUCCGACGCAACCGUACCCCAAACCGACACAGGUAGACGAGGUGAAUAUCCAAAGGCGCUUGAGAGAACACUCGCUCAGGAACUAGGCAAAUUAGCACCGUAACUUCGGGAGAAGGUGUGCCCCGCUAGGGUUCAUAGCCCGAGGGGGCCGCAGUGAAAGGCGCUCUGCGACUGUUUAACAAAAACACAGGUCUCUGCAAAGUCGAAAACGACGUAUAGGGGCUGACGCCUGCCCGGUGCCGGAAGGUUAAAGGGAGAGGUCAUGGGGAGCAAUCCCCGGCAGCUUUGAACUGAAGCCCCGGUGAACGGCGGCCGUAACUAUAACGGUCCUAAGGUAGCGAAAUUCCUUGUCGGGCAAGUUCCGACCUGCACGAAUGGCGUAACGACAGAGCGACUGUCUUGGCGAGUGACUCAGCGAACUUGUAGUACCGGUGAAGAUGCCGGUUACCCGCACCUAGACGGAAAGACCCCGUGCACCUUUACUAUACCCUAGCCCUGAGCUACGGGCUUGUCUGCGCAGGAUAGGUGGGAGGCUUUGAACCUGGGUUCUCGGACCCGGGGGAGCCGACGGUGAGAUACCACCCUGAUGAUUCUGUGGCUCUAACUUCGACCCGUAAUCCGGGUCAGGGACACGGCUAGGCGGGUAGUUUGACUGGGGCGGUCGCCUCCUAAAAGGUAACGGAGGCGCCCCAAGGUUGGCUCAGGCUGUUUGGAAAUCAGCCGUCGAGUGCAAGGGCAUAAGCCAGCCUGACUGCGAGACCUACUAGUCGAGCAGAGACGAAAGUCGGGCCUAGUGAUCCGGUGGUUCUGUAUGGAAGGGCCAUCGCUCAACGGAUAAAAGGUACGCCGGGGAUAACAGGCUGAUCGGAGCCAAGAGUUCACAUCGACGCUCCGGUUUGGCACCUCGAUGUCGGCUCAUCGCAUCCUGGAGCUGUAGAAGGUUCCAAGGGUUGGGCUGUUCGCCCAUUAAAGCGGUACGUGAGCUGGGUUCAGAACGUCGCGAGACAGUUCGGUCCCUAUCUGGUGUGGGCGCAGGAGAUUUGAGGGGGGUUGUCCUUAGUACGAGAGGACCGGGAUGAACAGACCUCUUGUGUACCAGCUGUCUAAACCAUGGCACGGCUGGGUAGCGAAGUCUGGAAGUGAUAAACGCUGAAAGCAUCUAAGCGUGAAGCACGCCCCAAGAUCAUAUCUCCCAAGGAUGAAAGGCGGUUUCGCUAACCGUCGAGAUUCCUCUGAAGGGCCGCGGAAGACUACCGCGUAUAUAGGUCGGACGUGGACGCAGGGUAACCUGUGGAGCUUACCGAUCCUAAUGCCCAUUCGGCUUGACC